RNAcentral lists this ribosomal RNA (456 nucleotides) under uncultured Alloscardovia sp. RNAcentral's name for it is "bacterial SSU rRNA". It matches the Rfam family "Bacterial small subunit ribosomal RNA", at positions 211 to 678 of the family's 1533-position model. The record is from RNAcentral. Lineage: Bacteria; Bacillati; Actinomycetota; Actinomycetes; Bifidobacteriales; Bifidobacteriaceae.
UUUAGUGCUAUGCGAUGGGAUCGCGUCCUAUCAGCUUGUUGGUGGGGUAAUGGCCUACCAAGGCGUCGACGGGUAGCCGGCCUGAGAGGGCGACCGGCCACAUUGGGACUGAGAUACGGCCCAGACUCCUACGGGAGGCAGCAGUGGGGAAUAUUGCACAAUGGGGGAAACCCUGAUGCAGCGACGCCGCGUGCGGGAUGACGGCCUUCGGGUUGUAAACCGCUUUUAUUGGGGAGCAAGCGUUUUGUGAGUGUACCUUUUGAAUAAGCACCGGCUAACUACGUGCCAGCAGCCGCGGUAAUACGUAGGGUGCAAGCGUUGUCCGGAAUUAUUGGGCGUAAAGAGCUCGUAGGCGGUUUGUCGCGUCUGGUGUGAAAGUCCAUCGCUUAACGGUGGAUCUGCGCUGGGUACGGGCAGGCUAGAGUGCAGUAGGGGAGACUGGAAUUCCCGGUGUAA